GGAAGUUAAGUGAGAAACUCCGCAGCUUGAACUGAUUUGGGGGAGAGAGAGAGAGAGAGAGAAAGGAAAAGGGGUAGGGGGAGGGAGAGAGGCAAGCAAAAUAGCCGAACAGAGCCAAUGGUUUUCCUGCAAAGUGCCGGGAAGUUUGCGGAACACUUUCUAGGAAUCAGGUCCUCUCUCAGAGCCUCUCCUUGUCCUCGGAAGAAAGAGCUGGCCUUUGGAUUGCCAUGGAUCCUAAAGAGGGGCUUAGACACACGUGAAUAAUUCCCCUGCUCGGGCUGGAUUGGGGGGAGUUUAGGAAGGAGCGUGUGUGCAAAGCAGAAGCCUUCGGAGCUCGCUCCCUGCUCUAAUCUGUAUGGAUCUAAAAGUGGCACACUCAAGACCUUCCCAUCUGCAGCUUUUCGCUUCCAGGCUUCCCUUUCCGCUCUAAGUAGCUGCUAGGAAACUGAAAACUUUUGGACCCUGCGUCUCGCUGGCUUUGGAUACUUUUUUUUUCCUUUUUUUUUUUUUUUUUUUUAAUUCUUUUCUUUGGAUCUCUGUGGAAUUGGUCUCGCAAACGAUCGGGAUUGCUUUUAAUAUGUCAAAAUGGGUCUGCUGACGCCACUCCUGCUCGUUGGAUUUGCAUUUUUUCAAGUCUAUGGACCCAAUUCUGCAGAGCAUUUAGGUGCGUGCCGCUGUUGCUUACACAGAACCUCAGUGAAGUUGAUGGGAAUUUAAACAUGUGUUCCAAGUUAAUCAUAUGCUUGAAAACUUUGCUGAGUAGGGAGGAAUUUAUGCCCAUGAUGAAAAGUUCUGCUGAAUUAGUCUUAAUGUUGUGCUUGCCUUACUUCCUUUCUCCUAGGUUGUAAUUGCAACAGCAUAUAUUUAUGUGCAAAAGAUAGGCAAAGAGAAAAUGCUGUCAUAGCACUUCCAGAGAUGGAUACGUUUGAAAAGUAAUUUGAUAGUCCAAGUAAUUUGUUUUGUUCAUUUGCUAAUUUGCUACACUGCAAAAGGUCUGAUAUCCCACAGUUCUUUUAGAAAAGACAGAAUAUCUUUUGUUGUUGUUGUUGUUUGUUGUUUUUUUUUUUUUUAAAUAAAAAUAAAACUUUUCAGUGAAUUCA
Molecule: long non-coding RNA, 1100 nt
Filed under: Anas platyrhynchos platyrhynchos (common mallard)
Lineage: Eukaryota; Metazoa; Chordata; Aves; Anseriformes; Anatidae
Description: lncRNA (ENSAPLG00000022868.1)
Source: RNAcentral